UCUCCAGACUCCUACGGGAGGCAGCAGUGGGGAAUCUUCCGCAAUGGGCGAAAGCCUGACGGAGCAACGCCGCGUGAUCGAAUGAAGGCCUUCGGGUUGUAAAGAUCUGUUGACAGGGACGAAUAAGCCAUGCGAAUAGUUUGGUGUAUGACGGUACCUGUUUAGAAAGCUCCGGCUAACUACGUGCCAGCAGCCGCGGUAAUACGUAGGGAGCAAGCGUUGUCCGGAUUUACUGGGUGUAAAGGGCGUGCAGCCGGGAGUGCAAGUCAGAUGUGAAAUCCCGCGGCUCAACCGCGGAACUGCAUUUGAAACUGUGCUUCUUGAGUGCUGGAGAGGCAGACGGAAUUCCUAGUGUAGCGGUGAAAUGCGUAGAUAUUAGGAGGAACACCAGUGGCGAAGGCGGUCUGCUGGACAGUAACUGACGGUGAGGCGCGAAAGCGUGGGGAGCAAACAGGAUUAGAUACCCGCGUAU
This 472-nucleotide ribosomal RNA is filed under the name uncultured bacterium. RNAcentral describes it as "bacterial SSU rRNA". It matches the Rfam family "Bacterial small subunit ribosomal RNA", at positions 328 to 793 of the family's 1533-position model. The record is from RNAcentral.